This 224-nucleotide long non-coding RNA is filed under the name Elaeis guineensis (African oil palm). RNAcentral's name for it is "long non-coding RNA (EGUI_LNC053157)". Lineage: Eukaryota; Viridiplantae; Streptophyta; Magnoliopsida; Arecales; Arecaceae. The record is from RNAcentral.
AAUAUCCUCUUAUUUUCUUAGGAUACUCUAUGAAAUAAUACUUAUCGCACCUAGGUUCAAGCUUAUCAGUCUAUAAAUAUUUGACAUAAGCUGAACAAUCACAAAUCCUAAGGUAAGAGAGUAUCAGCCUAUGCCUAGUCCAUAUCUCAUGGAGUUUUUACAAUUGAUUUGCUUGGAAUCCUAUUCAGAACAUAACAAGUAGUCUCAAAAACAUAAUCCCAAAA